UACAGAGGGUGCGAGCGUUAAUCGGAAUUACUGGGCGUAAAGGGCGCGUAGGCGGUUUAUCAAGUGAGAUGUGAAAUCCCCGGGCUUAACCUGGGAACUGCAUCUUAAACUGAUAGGCUGGAGUACUGUAGGGGAUAGUGGAAUUUCCGGUGUAGCGGUGAAAUGCGUAGAGAUCGGAAGGAACAUCAGUGGCGAAGGCGGUUGCCUGGAGCUUUGCUGACGCUGAGGCGCGAAAGCGUGGGGAGCGAUCCGG
Molecule: ribosomal RNA, 253 nt
Filed under: uncultured bacterium
Lineage: Bacteria
Description: partial 16S ribosomal RNA
Rfam family: Bacterial small subunit ribosomal RNA
Source: RNAcentral